Molecule: ribosomal RNA, 477 nt
Filed under: Selkirkiella alboguttata
Lineage: Eukaryota; Metazoa; Arthropoda; Arachnida; Araneae; Theridiidae
Description: partial 16S ribosomal RNA
Rfam family: Bacterial large subunit ribosomal RNA
Source: RNAcentral
UAACAAAAACAUCUCUUAUAGAAUCUAAUUGUAAGUAAAACCUGCUCAAUGAAAUUUAAAUAGCCGCAGAAUAUUUACUGUGCUAAGGUAGCAUAAUCAUUUGUUUUUUAAUUAAAAACUAGAAUGAAAGGUUUAACAUUUUAAUUUCUUUCUUAAAAAUUUAUAUCUAAAUUAUACUAAAUAUAAAAAUAUAUUUAUUUUUAAAAAAGACGACAAGACCCUAUUGAACUUUACUUUUGUUAAGCUGGGGCAGCUAAUUAAUUAUAAUUUUAAUUUUCUUUUUAAAAAAAUGACCCAAUAAUAUUUGAUUAUUUGAUUAAGUUACCAUAGGGAUAACAGCGUAAUUUUUUUUUUAAGUUCUUAUUUAAAAUAAAGUUUGCGACCUCGAUGUUGAAUUAAUAUUCUAUAUUACGCAAUAGUAAUAAAUAGUAGGUCUGUUCGACCUUUAAUAUAUUACAUGAUCUGAGUUCAAACCGG